CCUACGGGAGGCUGCAGUGGGGAAUAUUGGUCAAUGGACGAAAGUCUGAACCAGCGAAGUAGCGUGAGGGAUGAAGGCCCUAUGGGUUGUAAACUUCUUUUAUAGGGGAGUAAAACAGGGGAUGCAUACCCUCUUGAAUGUACCAUAUGAAUAAGGAUCGGCUAACUCCGUGCCAGCAGCCGCGGUAAUACGGAGGAUACGAGCGUUAUCCGGAUUGAUUGGGUUUAAAGGGAGCGUAGGUGGAUUGUUAAGUCAGUUGUGAAAGUUUGCGGCUCAACCGUAAAAUUGCAGUUGAAACUGGCAGUCUUGAGUACAGUAGAGGUGGGCGGAAUUCGUGGUGUAGCGGUGAAAUGCUUAGAUAUCACGAAGAACUCCGAUUGCGAAGGCAGUUCACUGGACUGCAACUGACACUGAGGCUCGAAAGUGUGGGUAUCAAACAGGAUUAGAUACCCGAGUAGUC
RNAcentral lists this ribosomal RNA (460 nucleotides) under uncultured bacterium. Its description in RNAcentral is "partial 16S ribosomal RNA". It matches the Rfam family "Bacterial small subunit ribosomal RNA", at positions 338 to 795 of the family's 1533-position model. The record is from RNAcentral.